CUAACGCCGGUCAUGAAGCGGCGGUAAUACUUAGACUCCAAGGGUGAUCCGGAAACAUUGGGUGUAAAGGGACCGAAGGCGGUUUAAUAAGUCAGUGGUGAAAGCCCAUCGAUAAACAGUUGAACGUCAAUUGAUACUGUUAGACUUGAAUUACAAGGAAGUAACUAGAAUAUGUAGUGUAGCGGUGAAAUGCUUAGAUAUUACAUGGAAUACCAAUUGCGAAGGCAGGUUACUACUUGUGGAUUGACGCUGAUGGACGAAAGCGUGGGGAGCGAACAGGAUUAGAUACCCCAGAGUC
Molecule: ribosomal RNA, 298 nt
Filed under: uncultured Helicobacter sp.
Lineage: Bacteria; Pseudomonadati; Campylobacterota; Epsilonproteobacteria; Campylobacterales; Helicobacteraceae
Description: partial 16S ribosomal RNA
Rfam family: Bacterial small subunit ribosomal RNA
Source: RNAcentral